UACGUAGGGUCCGAGCGUUGUCCGGAAUUAUUGGGCGUAAAGGGCUCGUAGGCGGUUUUGUCGCGUCUGCUGUGAAAAAUCCAGGGCUUAACCCUGGACCUGCAGUGGGUACGGGCAGACUGGAGUGCGGUAGGGGGAGAUCGGAAUUCCUGGUGUAGCGGUGAAAUGCGCAGAUAUCAGCAGGAAUACCCGUGGCGAAGGCGGCCCCCUGGGCCGUACCUGACGCUGAGGCGGCGAAGGCUAGGGGAGCGAACGGGG
This 258-nucleotide ribosomal RNA is filed under the name uncultured bacterium. RNAcentral's name for it is "partial 16S ribosomal RNA". It matches the Rfam family "Bacterial small subunit ribosomal RNA", at positions 524 to 777 of the family's 1533-position model. The record is from RNAcentral.